Molecule: long non-coding RNA, 2007 nt
Filed under: Homo sapiens (human)
Lineage: Eukaryota; Metazoa; Chordata; Mammalia; Primates; Hominidae
Description: non-protein coding lnc-UBE2K-2:11
Source: RNAcentral
CGGCGGCGGACAGUGUUCUGUAAUGUGUCUCCCGUUGCCCGAGCUAAAGGUUUUCCUCGACGGAGUCUUUAGAAUACCGUGGUAGAGGUAGACGCGGUUACAAAUUGAUGUCUGUUGAGACAGUCUACCCCUGUAAAGUGUUUUUGGUUACUCAGGCCCGGAUGGAAAUUGGAGAUGGGGAUUACAAAAAUACAUCAAAUGUGGCUGUUAUUGAUUCCCUUUACCUUAACAUUUUUGCACCGGAAACGACCAAAAUUAAGUUCAACAGGAAUAUUAAUAAAAGGAAUAUGUAGUCGGGCUUGGUGACUCAUGCCUGUAAUCCCAGCACUUCAGGAGGCAGAGGUGGGCGGAUCACUUGAGGUCAGGAGUCCGAGACCAGCCUGGCCGACAUGGUGAAACCCCAUCUCCACUAAAAACACAAAAAUUAGCCGGGCAUGGUGGUGCCCGCUUGUAGUCCCAGCUACUCGGGAGGCUGAGGUGGAAGAAUCGCUUGAACCCGGGAGGCGGAGGUUGCAGUGAGCCGAGAUCGCGCCACUGCACUCCAGCCUGGGUGAUAGUGAGACUUUGUCUCAAACUAAAUAAUUAAAGAUAUGUGACCAAAGAUGACUUGCUGGUCAGGAGAUAAUGGGGAAGUAGGAGGGAAUGCUGUGGCUAGGCAGCCAGCCAGCCCAAGUCUUAGUUGCUUUGGUUGUAGAGCUGGAAUAAGAGUGCUGCUUUUACCCAAUCUUCCUUUUAGAGCAAGUUGGUGCUUCCUAUUCUCCCAUUCUAGUCUCUGAGUCUCCCCGCUAAAUUUUGGGGGCCCUGGAAAUUUCCCAAUUUGGCAAAAUGCAGAACUAUAUUGUUUUCUUAGGUCCUUCAGUUGGCAAGCUUUAAUUAAAAUGGGACAAGUGGCGAAGUAAAAGUGAAUCCCAAACAAAGAUUUUACGAAAGUGCCUCUCUGCCAGUCUUGACGGAGAGGUGAAAGCUGCAAGCUUUCUUACUCAGAUUUGAUGACCUUUUCACUUACCCAGACUUCCACCUCAGCAAUUUGGUUAAUUACCCCUCGACAAGCUGAAUCACCUUCCCCAAAUAAGUAUCAUUUACAAGAGCUUUUUAAUUAAAGUGGAUAUUGAACACAGGUAAAGGUUUCUAGAAAAUUAAAGGUUUCUGGUAAAACUUGAAGUGUUUCCCAGUUAACUAAUUGCAAAGUAGAUACAAAGAAUAAAGAUUUUGGCCCUUAAUCUGCAACCUUGAACUCUGCUUACUCAAAUUCAGAGUUUGAGAUGGAAUCUGGUGCCCUAAUGAGCUGACACUGUACCAAAGGGUCUUUAAUUUGUGCAACUCCAAACAAAAUCUGUUAUGCUUGAGUGCACCCAUGGGCACGUAUGUGUUUGAGAACACAGCUGUGUUUAAGAGAACAGUAUGGUACAAAACUAGAAUUGUACUGGUUGUUGCAAAAUUCUCAGUACUUGGUUUUGUUGUUGUUGUUUUUGUUGUUGUUGUUUUUGUUUGUUUUUGAGAUGGAGUCUUGCUCUGUUGCCCAGGCUGGAGUGCAGUGGCUCGAUCUCGGCUCACUGCAAGCUCCGCCUCCUGGGUUCACGCCAUUCUCCUACCUCAGCCUCCCGAGUAGCUGGGACUACAGGCACCCGCCGCCACCACGCCUGGCUAAUUUUUUGUAUUUUUAGUAGAGACGGGGUUUCACCAUGUUAGCCAGGAUGGUCUCAAGCUCCUGACCUCGUGAUCCGCCCGUCUCGGCCUCCCAAAGUGCUGGGAUUACAGGCGUGAGCCACCGCGCCUGGCCUUUUUUUUUUUUUUUUUGAGAUAGGGUCUUGCUCUGUUGCACAGGCUGGAAUGCAGUGGUGCAAUCAUAGCUCACUACAGCCUCAAACUCCUGGGCUGAAGUGAUCCUCCCAUUUUAGCCUCCUGAAUAACUAAGACUACAGACACAUGCCACCACAGUGAGCUACUUUUUUUUUUAAUUUGUUAUAGGAUCUUGCUAUAUUGUUGAGACUGGUCUUGAACUCCUGG